Molecule: long non-coding RNA, 4811 nt
Organism: Heterocephalus glaber (naked mole-rat)
Lineage: Eukaryota; Metazoa; Chordata; Mammalia; Rodentia; Bathyergidae
Source: Ensembl
CAUCAAAACUCAGGCCGUGCGGGUCCCCGCUUCCGGAGCCGCCGGGGGACUCGGGCGGGGCCGGCGCCAGCGAGGUCGCCGUGGUUGGAGGUGGCGGGGAAGGUGCGGGCCUCGCUUCCUGAGAGAACUCCCUCCGGGUUAACUGCUAGAGAGGGCUCUCUGGGUUUUCUCCGGAGUUUGGACUUUGGUACUUUCAUCGAGAUUUUCCUCCCGGGUUCCUUCCUUCAGCCCAUCCAUCAACUUUCCCACCAACAUGAGCCAGCCACCCCGGAGGGAGGGCCAGUGAGACUGACCUGGAAGAGGGGACGAGGAAACUUACCGUCUCCUUAAGGGAAAUGUGACACCUGCCCAGGGACUGGCCGGAGACCGAGCAUAGCAGUGAGUGGUGUGGUUUCCCAGGGCCCUGCCUGUCCACAGGAGGAGCUGGAAUCUAGUUAGGAGUGAUCAGAAGAUGAGAUCCUCGCCGGACCGUGGAAAUUGGGAAGGGUUUAUAAAUGGGGCAUCUCACAGAGUCACAAAUGGCAUCUGUGGGAGGCCGAUGGUGGCCCCUAAAGAUAUCCGGUCCUAAUCUGUGAAACCCAUGGAUGUUACAUUACACGGUGAAGACUUUUCAAAGAAGAGAAGAUGGAAAGAUGGAGCACAGAAAGAUUGGAAGGUGCUGAAAGUAAAGAGUCCUUAAACAUGGGAACAAUCCAGCCAUAAGCCACAGCACUGAGGUUACCAAAGCUGAAGAGGCCAGGAGUAUGUUCUCCCUGGAGCUGCUGGGACAGGAGGGGCCUUGAUUCAGGCUCAGUGAAGCGGAGGUGGAACUUCUCACCUCCAGAAGUGUCAGAGAAUAAAUUUGUGUUGCUCUAAGCAAAGUUGUGGUCGCUUAUUACAGUAGCCCCAGGCCAUACUUGUGGGUAAAAUGAAAGCCUGAGUCUAGAAGACAGUUGAGGUCCUGCCAGAGCUCACAUGGGAGCUAUGAUGACUUGAAGGUGUCCUGUCAACUAUGUCUCAGGCAUCAGCUGACUCAGUGGCAUGAGCAUCUUGGAUCCCGACAGAUGACACUGUAGUUGUUAGGAACCACGGAGGAGGCUGCCCAGGGCCAGCGGCCACCCUGACCUGGAAGUGCUUUGUCUGCAGUGUGGGAAGUUGUGAUCUCAGGGUCUUUCUGAAAAGAAACUUCAGAUUUAAGGGAAGAGUAAUGGAAGUCAAAAAAUGGAAACAACCCACAUGCCCAUGGACUGAUGAAUGGGUUAAAAAAUUAUGCUAUAUUCACACAAUGGAAUAUUAUUCAGCCAUAAAAAGGGAUGGAAUCUGAUACACCUAUAAUGAAUGAACCUUGGAUGAACCUUGAAAACCUUAUGCUACAUGUAAGAAGCCACAGUAUGUGAAUCUGGUAUGAUUUGUCCAGAAUAGGCAAAUUUAAAGACAGACAAGCAGAUUAAUGGUUGCCAGGAACUGGGGGCAGGAGAGGAAUGCAGAAUGACUGAUUUGGGGGUUUUCCUUUUGGAAUGAUAAACACAUUCUAGAACUAGAUAUUGGUGAUGGUUGCAGAAUAGUGUGAAUGUACUUUGUACUGCUGAAUUGUGUACUUUAAAGUGGCUAAACCAGUCAAUUUUAUGUGAAUUUUACCACAAUAAAAAAGUGGAAAAUGUGAGUGUUGUUCUAACUCAAAUUGUUGGGCCAGCUGAAAGGUUCACGGGAUAAUGGUUGGAUAUGCAAAGAGCCCAAGCUGGUCGCUGUCAGGGAUGACUGCAGAAAGAAUCACCGGAAGUGUCUGGUGCCAUACCCUUGUUUUAGUUCUACCUCCGAUCAAUGAAAUCAGUCUGCACAUGAGGCCCAGGCAUCACAAAGUUUAAAACCCACCCCAGAUGAUUCAAAUGUGCAGCCAGGCUUCAGAACCCUGGCUUAAAACCUCCAGGGCCAAACAAGCUCAUGAGCUCUGUGCGCACCGACUCGCCCCUUUAUCUUCUCCUGGGCCUGCUGGGAGUGGAGGGGAGAUUCCAGGAGAGGGCUUUUAGAAUUGGACAGCCAUGGUUUGAAAACCAGCCCCACUGUUUUUUGUUUGUUUGGUUGGUUUUUUGGGGGUACCAGAGAUCGAACUCGGGACCUUCCGCUUGUGAGACAGGCGGUGGAACCACUGAGCUAAAUCCCCGGCCCCCAGCUCCACUGUUAACUAGCUGUGUAAUCUUGGGCAAACCACAUAACCCUUUGUUAUGGUCUGUGUCUAGAUGGGCCCCCAAAGCCUCAGGCAGUCAUAAGUGGGGCUUUUUCAGAGGUGGCUGGAUCUAGAGUGUGUGAUGCUGGGAUUGAGGGUGUGUGUUACUAAAUCAGUCCACUGAGUGGUUUGGCACCGGCCUUAUCCCCAGUAGUCUGGAUAAGACAAAAGGGCCAGAAAGAUGCUGUUAAGGUCCAUGGUUGCUUUUGCUGUCUUCCACCACCAUGAACUGUUGCCCCUCUGCCGUGUGCCACCCUGCCUUGGAGCCAGCAGAUUAUGCACUGAAACCUCUACAAACUGAGCUAAAUAAACCUUUCCCCCUUUAACUUUGGGGGUCAGGUAUUUUGUCUCAGCAACGAGAAAGUGACUACCACAUCCUUCAGGCACUGUUUUGACACCAACAUCUCUUUGCACCUCCUCUAGGCUGGAAAAGAGACACCAUGCCCUAUUUGUGUGGAAUUCCUCGAGCUAUCGUACCUUAAGUUCAAUUCCGUCCCUCCAAUGGAGGGUAGGUUGACAGACAACUUCAUAACGCAGGGAAGGACACGUUUCAUGGAGAGUUAGUGAUUAUCCCAUCAAUCCUUUCUGGACUCAGGGUCAGACUUUCUUCUGUGUACCAAGCUUUAUAAAUGAUGUAAACAUACUGGAGAUAAAAGCAGCCUCUGUCUGCCUCCUGUCUCAUUUCCUGUCUACUCCUGAGAGCCAGCUCAACAGCAAUGAAGGGAAAGCUAUUUGUAGAGUGCACGGGAGGAAAAUAAAUGCAAAGAGGCCCUUCCUAAGCGGUUGCGCUCAGCUCUCACUCUUUCUAGCAGCAAGAGCUUUAUGAAUGCCAGGCGAUAGAACAUGUACUUUGGUACCCAUUGGUUGGGACAGUUGGUAGCUAUGAAAACUGCUGUGGACUCAGUGAUGCCUUCGGGUAAGUGUGUAUCUCAUUAAUUUCAGUAGCGACCACAUAAAUUUCACAAACAGUAAAAAAUAUGCACGAGACCUGUUUAUCUGGCUACACCGAUUUGGUUUGUAUUCUCAGCUUCCUUAUGUGUUCUUUUCUGCACAAAGGUUGGGAAAUGCUGCCCUGAGAAGCCACUGUCACCUUGUGACUGGCAGUGCUUCCUUGAUGAAGAGGACUAGGCCAGUGCUUGUCAUCAUAACUCGUACUUUACUUCGGAUCCCCUUCCCAGGAACAACUCGUCCUUAAUUUUUAAAGAUGGCUCACUUUAAGUCUCCUGCCUGCCUGUUCACCUUCUUAUCAGUGACAGCAACAAACAAUUAAUGAAAUUUUAAAAAUGUCUUACUGCCUGAAAUUACAUCUUCCAAUUAAAAAGUAACAAAGGCUGCAUCCCUCCUCUGUUCCCUUCCCUGGCUGAAACAUCUUGACAUCUGCUUCUGUCUCCAGCCUUGACUAAGACCAAGCUUAUGGAAAAACAGAAUAAGUCAUACACUUCUAUUGGGGACACAUGGUGUGUGACUUCAGUUCUCAAGGGAAACGUGUUCUGGUUGUUUGCAGAAAACUGAUAUAGUCAAGGGUUGCUUUGCCAGAGCACAGCAGGGUCCCAGGGGUCCACAGAGGUACCCCACAGAGGCAUGGGGGCCCUACUGCCCACACCCUUCCCCCUUCUCUAGCCCUAGUUGACACCAGCUUCUUUUUCAAAACUGAGCUCAGCAUAGACUCUUAAACCCAAGGGAAAAAAGAGGUCACGACCCAGUGGCUUCCAAGCCUUCCAAGCCCAAAGUACUCCCAGUAGAAUCCCUUGGGGGAACUUCCCUAAAAUGCAUUCUUGCCCCACACCCAUUCUGAUUCCUUGGGACUGUGUGUGGCCAUGAAUUCUGCAUUCUGAAAAGCUUUUCUGUGUUUCAGAUGACCAGUCUGAUUUCAGAAUCACUACGCUCGCAGCUUCCAUCCCCUGGACUCUACCUAUGCAUUGAAAUGUCCCCUCAUGGACACAGAGGGCUUUUAAGUACUUUCCUGUGUGCAUUUGGAUUUUGCCUUACUAUAUUUGCAGACUUCCAUUGUCUAGUGCCCUCUAAUUUUCAACUCCUAUUUCCUUUUCAUGUAGGGUCUUUCAGCUGUGCAUUAGGAUAAUUGGGGCAACCAAAAAGUACUAAAUGGAUGUCAUCAAAAUUAAAAACUAUUAUUUUAAAAAAUUGAUCCUAGGGACUAAACCCACAGCCUCAUGCAUGCCAAGACAAGCUCAGAGCUACACCACCAGCCCAAACUAAAUACUUCUGCUCCUUAAAAGCUACUGCUCGGAAACCUUUGCUACGGUCUUGGCCCUGUCUCCUAGCGCCCUGCGGAGGAGGAGACUUUCAGCAGAGGCCAGGGCAGCAGAAGCCCUCUUCUCUGUAUGCCAGGCUGAUGUUUCCAUAUAGCAUUUGAGGAAAGCACCUUUCAUCCACUUCAUCAGAAGAGCAUCUUUUUACUCCUAGAGUUACUGAUUCUGGUGUAGUUGAACGCAUUCUUAUUUAAAAUGAGGUUCUUAGACGUAUUUCUUUUGAAUAAAACAUACUUCUAAAAGCCACCGUUUCCAUUUUCAUUUUCUCCUUCCAGUACCCAGGGUCUGGUGGAAUGUUUAACCAUGAUGUGUCUGUAUUUCGAGGCUAUCCUAUUACC